Long non-coding RNA from Neopsephotus bourkii (Bourke's parrot), 1432 nucleotides. RefSeq lists it as uncharacterized. The transcript has 4 exons. The record is from RefSeq and is a predicted model, not a curated record. NCBI's taxonomy places the organism in Eukaryota, Metazoa, Chordata, Aves, Psittaciformes, Psittacidae.
UGUUCUUUUAGAUACGCUGUAACAUAAAAAGUAGGUGCCUUUGAAAUUGAAAGAACUUAAAUGUUUCUUGAUUUUAUACUUUUAGGUAUUCAGAACUGUUAUCUAAUCAUUGACUUGAGCAACUAUGCUUUACUAGUAUGUGAAUGUUUUGAAAAAGAAGAUCUUUUCCUUCAUUCACCUGAGCUUUACUUCCAAUCAGCUCUAGUCAGGAUUGUGAACUGAAAAUCUGUUAGCAUUUUGGAGCAUAUUUGAUAUAUUUUUGGAGAACAUCUUUAAAUUUGUUUUUGUUGGAACAAGUACAAUUUGUUCACUUUUAGACCUCUCCAUGGAAUGACACAAGGCACAAUACACAGUGGGACCCUACUGAAGAGGAGCUCUGCAGAAACCUGCCUCAUGUCCAGCAUGACUAGGAAGCCAGGGGGGACGGUGAGGAAGCUGCUGGUUGGGACUGACCUUCCUACUGAGACUAAACCAUGACAACCAUAAAGAUGUUGCAAAACUUCAACUGGAUAAUCCUGGUGCCUAUUUUUUCUGUGCUUGAGGAAUUUAUUUGUCAUCUGCUGUCUUUGCAGCCACUCAUAUUUUUGCCAAGUUUUGCUAAAGCCAGCAAAGUUUCUGGAUGCUAUUAUUUUCAACCAAUCUGCAGCAUUUAGAUGAACAGGAAAUGCACAAAUGUGUGCUGGAGAAUCUGUCAUAUGUGAGAUAUGAGCUAUGUUCUUUUAUCUGGUGUGUAAACAUCUCUUAUUAAAUAUUGCACUUUAUCAGGAUAAAUUUUGUUUACUUAGGUUUUAGGGCAAGUGGGGGAGGAAAACAUCUUUUCUGCAUUUUCUCAGCCAUCAGUUUUUCUUCAAAAGUUUUAUUCUUAUUAGAAAUAAAGCUUCUUUAUUCUCCACUGCUCUGUAGAGGUUUCUUAACAUAACAGACAGACCUAUUUUCAAUUUAUUAUUGUUCCUGUUCUAUGUGCUAUUGAUUUUUCUCUUAUUUUAAACUUUUUUUAAUCUUAAAUGCAAAGUCUUUUUUCAGCUUCAAGGGAGCAAUUCAGACAAACAUUUUGCUGGUGAAUAAUUCAAAGCAUAGCAUAAGGAUUUUUUGCUGAAUUUGUCCUUAGCAUGUUUUUAAAAUUCUCUAUUAUUUCUUCUACAAUCUUCUUACUGUUAUUUCAGAACUUGUUUUGCUUCCUGUCAGAAAAACCUAUUUGACUAAUCACAGUUUCUUUCUAUUCAUGUAUAUUAUCUUUAGGAAGGCCUUGAUUCAUGAGUUUUCAUAAAUGAGUACCAAACUUAAACUAAACUGCUAUACAAUAUGAUUGCAGAAACUAGAUGUUUAUGAAUCAAGGCUGAAAUAUAUAGUUUCUGGUUUAGAAGAUGCCCAUGGUCAUUCCAUUUUUACCAUCUUCUAUCUAGCUAUGACUAUGGAUAUAAACUUUUGUUGC